CCCACGGGCGGCAGCAGUAGGGAAUCUUCCACAAUGGGCGAAAGCCUGAUGGAGCAACGCCGCGUGGGUGAAGAAGGUCUUCGGAUCGUAAAACCCUGUUGUUAGAGAAGAAAGUGCGUGAGAGUAACUGUUCACGUUUCGACGGUAUCUAACCAGAAAGCCACGGCUAACUACGUGCCAGCAGCCGCGGUAAUACGUAGGUGGCAAGCGUUAUCCGGAUUUAUUGGGCGGAAAGGGAACGCAGGCGGUCUUUUAAGUCUGAUGUGAAAGCCUUCGGCUUAACCGGAGUAGUGCAUUGGAAACGGGGAGACUUGAGUGCGGAAGAGGAGAGUGGAACUCCAUGUGUAGCGGUGAAAUGCGUAGAUAUAUGGAAGAACACCAGUGGCGAAGGCGGCUCUCUGGGCUGUAACUGACGCUGAGGUUCGAAAGCGUGGGUAGCGAACAGGAUUAGAUACCCCGGUAGUC
RNAcentral lists this ribosomal RNA (465 nucleotides) under uncultured bacterium. Its description in RNAcentral is "partial 16S ribosomal RNA". It matches the Rfam family "Bacterial small subunit ribosomal RNA", at positions 338 to 795 of the family's 1533-position model. The record is from RNAcentral.